AUGCUAUGUGUCUUUCUCUUUCUUGUUUUUCAUGCAGUCUUCCAUCGUCUUCCUCUAUUCCGACCCCAGGUGUGGCUUCAUGUGCUGGAACAUCGCUCCUGUCUGGAAGUGCUCCUGCACGUUGGUGAGGACUCCCUUCCGGCCCUCGGCUGGCCUUCAUCACCUCACACCUGGAUGACCGCAACAGCUGGCCUGCCUUGGGCUAGCCUUUCUCUGCUCCAGCCUCUCCAGCUGCCAGGACCCAUCUUCUGCAAAUACCUUUGGCAUCACAUCACUUCCCUGCUCAGACCUAUUAGAUCCUAGCUCCAUUCAUCUGGCUGGGAGCCAGCCAAUUGGCCUCCCAUUCUUCCUCUUCCCUCCUUUCAAGUUCACUCCCAUCCAGCCAGCCUCAUAGGUUGCUUUAAAUCUUCUGUUAGCCCCUCUGCUAGUUUGGGUGGUCUCCUUUCCACCUCCUCCCGCCCUCCCUCCAGAAUACUUCUGGUGACUUUGGGGGAGUCAUGCAAACUGUCGAGCUUCUCCAGCCUCUUUCUCAAUGCAUUUGCCUCCCCUGCCCGCAUCGCGGCUCCACCAUUCACCUGCUAGAGGCCUUCAGGCAAGUUGCUUCACCUCUCGGUGCCUCAGUGUUCUCAUUUUUUUCAUCCAUAAAAUGGGGAUCUUAAUGGUACAUCCUCAUCAGUUCGUGGAGAAGAUUAAAAGAGGUGAUAGUGGAGUUCCCAUUGUGGCGCAGUGGAAACAUAUCUGACUAGUCUCCAUGAGGACGCAGGUUCGAUUCCCUGGCCUCGCUCAGUGGGCUAAGGAUCUGGCAUUGCUGUGAGCUGUGGUGUAGGUCACAGACGCGACUCGGAUCCCCCGUUACUGUGGCUGUGACGUAGGCCGGUGGCUACAGCUCCAAUUUGACCCCUCACCUGGGAACUUCCAUAUGCUGCAGGUGUGGCCCUGAAAAGAAAAAAAAAAAAAAAAAAGGAGAUAGCUGUAAAAGGACCUAGAACAAUAUUCGGCACAAAGUAACUGCCAUGGACACAUCAGCUAUUAUUACUUUUUUUUUUUUGUCUUUUGUCUUUUUAGGGCUGUACCCAUGGCAUAUGGAAGUUCCCAGGCUAGGGGUCUAAUCGGAGCUGUAGCCUACACUAGAGUCACAGCAACGCCAGAUCUGAGCCGAGUCUGUGACCUACACCAGAGCUCACCACCACGCCGGAUCCUUAACCCACUGAGCGAGCCCAGGGAUCGGACCCGCAACCUCAUGGUUCCUAGUUGGAUUCAUUAACCACUGAGCCACAAUGGGUACUCCAGCUAUUAUUACUUAACCAUUGUUAUUAUGGUGCCUUCUAGCCAGCUCUCCCCUGGACACCACUUCCACUUGGAAGAGCUAACUGGUGGAGCUGUCUGUCAAAAAAAAAAAAAUGAGUCCAGGAAAAACAAAUUUCAUAAAUAGAUUCUGCUAAAUCUAAGACUGUUGAAGUCUUCCAAUUGGUGAAUAUUAUUUUAUUCACCAAGAGUGCGGAGCUGGUUCACUGUUAAGUAUCUGAGACAACUUGAGGAACUGGGCUGUCUACAAAGCACUACUUACAUCCAUUAAUUUCUAACCAACCAGGAGGAGGGCAUGUGAGAUUUAAAAUCAGGAUUUUUCCGGGAUGAAUAGGAUGGUGUGGGGACAACGUCAAAACACCCUAAGGGACCAAUGCGUUGUGCAUGUUAUUUCCCAUGGUCUUUCUAGAAUCCUUCUCACUAUGCCCUAAGUCCCAAUGGCCCUGCUUCCACAUCUGCUCACUCCCUGUGUUCCUCCUUGGAGCCUAAUUGGAAUUGCUUUUCUCUCUGGGAGUUCCCAGCCUGAGAGCCCUGCACCUUGCACCUCUACCAUCAUUGCUGUAAAUAAUCUACCAUCUUCAUCUUUGUUCUUCUUUUCAAAUCCACCUCUAUGGUUUUGUGGCGAAUACAACGCAUUCCUUUAAAAUCGCUGGUGAAUUCACAGUCACUGUUUAUCAUUGUAUGUUCUCUUGCUCUCGCUCAAUGAAUUCGGUCCUACCUCAGAGAUACCAGGUUCGGUGCCAGACCAUGGCCAUAAAGUGAACAUCUCAACAAAACAAGUCACGUGACUUUUUUGGGGGCUUCCCAGUGCCUACCAAAGUUAUGCUUACCUUAUACUGUAGCCUAUUAGGUGUGCAAUAGCAUUAUGCCUGAAAAAACAAUGUACAGACCUUAUUUAGAAAAUACUUGGAAUUCCCGUCGUGGCUCAGCAGAAACGAAUCUCCCUAGCAUCCACGAGGACGCAGGUUUGAUCCCUGGCCUCGCUCAGUGGGUUAAGGAUCUGGCAUUGCCAUGAGCUGUGGUGUAGGUUGCAGACAGGGCUUGGAUCCCCCUAGUUGCUGUGACUGUGGUGUAGGAUGGCAGCUUUAACUCUGAUUCGACUCCUAGUCUGGGAACCUCCAUGUGCCGAGAGUAUGACCCUUAAAAAAGACCCGAAAAAGAAAAAGAAAAUACUCGGAGUUCCCAUCGUGGCUCAGUGGUUAACGAAUCCGACUAGGAACCAUGAGGUUGUGGGUUCUAUCCCUGGCUUUGCUCAGUGGGUUAAGGAUCCGGCGUUGCCAUGAGCUGUGGUGUGGGUCGCAGACGCGGCUUGGAUCCCGUGUUGCUGUGGCUCUGGCGUAGGCCGACGGCUACAGCUCUGGACCCCUAGCCUGGGAACCUCCAUAUGCUGCAGGAGCAGCCCAAGAAAUGGCAAAAAGACAAAAAAAAAAAAAAAAAAGAAGAAGAAGAAAAUACUCGAUUGUGAAAAAAUUCUAGCCUUCAUCAAGUUAUAACAUCAAAGAUGACUGAUCACAGGUCACCGUAACAAAUAUAACAAAUGAAGAAAUUUAAAAUAUUGAAAGAAAUACCACCAUGUGACACGGAGACACGAAGUGAGCAAAUGCUGUUGGGAAAAUGACACUGAUAGGUUUGUUCGAUGCAGAGGUAGCCAGAAAACUUUAAUUUGAAAACAAAAAGCACGGAGUAUCCAUGAAGCGCAAUAAAGCGAGGUAUAUCUGUACUAAAAGUUCA
Molecule: long non-coding RNA, 3036 nt
Filed under: Sus scrofa (pig)
Lineage: Eukaryota; Metazoa; Chordata; Mammalia; Artiodactyla; Suidae
Description: lncRNA (ENSSSCG00030057656.1)
Source: RNAcentral